Molecule: long non-coding RNA, 524 nt
Filed under: Chinchilla lanigera (long-tailed chinchilla)
Lineage: Eukaryota; Metazoa; Chordata; Mammalia; Rodentia; Chinchillidae
Description: lncRNA (ENSCLAG00000022454.1)
Source: RNAcentral
CAUGGCGUCCGCGGCGGCGCCCGCGCGGCACUUUCAGUUUCUCCUUCGCGCGGGUGCAGGGCGGCUCGGCGCGGCCCGGGCCUCUCGCGUGCACCUGCGCCGGGCCGCAGCCCGCGGGCUUCCCUGCGCGGCCGGAGCAGCGGGCGGGCCUCGCGAGUCGCAGUGACUCGGGCCGGGAGACGUUCCGGGUGACUUCUCACCCCUCGGCGGCGCGGGGCUCCUGGGAGCGAAAACCACCAGUUGCUAACGUGUCCACGGAAGCCACAAAUGUGCAGGGCAAAAGCCGGGCUCUUGGACGCGAACGCCACCGAGGAGGCGUCGCUGCUUCUGCCGCGGAUGUGGCAGACGUUGCCAAGUCAUCUUGUAAAAAAAGGAAGUGGACAAUGAUUAAGAGGUUCACGCCCCGUGCCCCUCCAACCGCUAAUGCUUUUUUCUCUCCGUCUUAUGUACAUGCACCUGCCCAGGUGGGACCUCGAGGAAGUAUAACUUUGUGGGUCCGCCUAAUCUGGCAGUUUCGUGAAUGA